Molecule: ribosomal RNA, 460 nt
Filed under: uncultured bacterium
Lineage: Bacteria
Description: partial 16S ribosomal RNA
Rfam family: Bacterial small subunit ribosomal RNA
Source: RNAcentral
CCUACGGGUGGCAGCAGUGAGGAAUAUUGGUCAAUGGGCGGGAGCCUGAACCAGCCAAGUCGCGUGAAGGAAGAAGGUACUUAGUAUUGUAAACUUCUUUUGUCGGGGAACAAAGGCGGAGACGCGUCUCCGGAUGAGUGUACCCGAAGAAAAAGCAUCGGCUAACUCCGUGCCAGCAGCCGCGGUAAUACGGAGGGUGCAAGCGUUGUCCGGAAUCAUUGGGCGUAAAGAGUUCGUAGGCGGCAUGUAAAGUCAGGUGUUAAAGGCGCAGGCUCAACCUGUGUAUGGCACUUGAUACUUGCAAGCUGGAAUGCGGUAGAGGUAAAGGGAAUGCCUGGUGUAGCGGUGAAAUGCUUAGAUAUCAGGAGGAACAUCGGUGGCGUAAGCGCUUUACUGGGCCGUAAUUGACGCUGAGGAACGAAAGCCAGGGUAGCAAAUGGGAUUAGAUACCCCUGUAGUC